Molecule: ribosomal RNA, 577 nt
Filed under: Pantoea sp.
Lineage: Bacteria; Pseudomonadati; Pseudomonadota; Gammaproteobacteria; Enterobacterales; Erwiniaceae
Description: bacterial SSU rRNA
Rfam family: Bacterial small subunit ribosomal RNA
Source: RNAcentral
UGAGGAGUGGCUUCCGGAGCUAACGCGUUAAGUCGACCGCCUGGGGAGUACGGCCGCAAGGUUAAAACUCAAAUGAAUUGACGGGGGCCCGCACAAGCGGUGGAGCAUGUGGUUUAAUUCGAUGCAACGCGAAGAACCUUACCUACUCUUGACAUCCACGGAAUUUGGCAGAGAUGCCUUAGUGCCUUCGGGAACCGUGAGACAGGUGCUGCAUGGCUGUCGUCAGCUCGUGUUGUGAAAUGUUGGGUUAAGUCCCGCAACGAGCGCAACCCUUAUCCUUUGUUGCCAGCGAUUCGGUCGGGAACUCAAAGGAGACUGCCGGUGAUAAACCGGAGGAAGGUGGGGAUGACGUCAAGUCAUCAUGGCCCUUACGAGUAGGGCUACACACGUGCUACAAUGGCGCAUACAAAGAGAAGCGACCUCGCGAGAGCAAGCGGACCUCACAAAGUGCGUCGUAGUCCGGAUCGGAGUCUGCAACUCGACUCCGUGAAGUCGGAAUCGCUAGUAAUCGUGGAUCAGAAUGCCACGGUGAAUACGUUCCCGGGCCUUGUACACACCGCCCGUCACACCAUGGGAG